Molecule: long non-coding RNA, 4460 nt
Organism: Columba livia (rock pigeon)
Lineage: Eukaryota; Metazoa; Chordata; Aves; Columbiformes; Columbidae
Exons: 3
Source: RefSeq, a predicted model, not a curated record
CACGGGCCACCCGCCGGGUAGUGGAUUCCCGCCCGGGAGUGAAGGCCGCCGUAGUGCCACCCUCCCGAAACACCGAGACCUUACCGGCUGGGCUAGAGGGCGGGCACCGCGCUGGAGCGGCCCGGCCUGGGCGAAGGGUCCUCCCUGCCUGGCACGGGUCCUGCUGCCAUCUGAGAGAAUCUCCUGUGCCUAUGGACAGUCACUGUUCAAGUCUCCCCAAGCCUCGAUGUCCCUGUAGAUGGAGAAAGGGAGGUCGUCGGAAAGCAUUUUGCCGAGGAUCACAAACUCAGUCUGUGGCGGAGUUGGUAGAAACCUUAAUUUCUGUCCCAUGUUCUAAUUAUGAGACGAUUCCUCCCACCCCGCAGUUACUUCUGUGCAGAUGAAGUAAUGGAGCUCUUCACCAUCCCACCCUGCCUUCUGUGCUGCUGCCGGGGCGGCACAGCGCCAGGCGGCUGGUUGGAAGAGAUGAAUGAAACUCUGGUGUUGUGAUUACGGCUCGUGAGCUGAGUGAGCGUAUCGUAUACAAGAUAUGACAUACAGCUAUUGCUACUCACAGACUGGAAGAUUGUAUAUAUAAUUGUUAUUCACCCCUGUUCUACUACUGAAGUUUAUAAAAGACUCUUCCAGUACCCAGCAGAAAAUGAGCUAAAUUUCUUAAGUUUUGCGUCUAAUCUACAAAAUCCAACACAGAAAUACAAGACUGAAGGCCUACUCUGUAGGGUUUACUUUUCCAAUAAGAAGUGAUAGAUUUUCUUGGGCAGAAGAUUGUAGAGGAACAGGGCUAUGCUGUUUUCCUGUAUAUGUUUCAAUAAACCUUCCCUCUUAGAGCUGACAUAGUCUGUAAGUGCAACAGCAUGAUUUUGUUUGUUCAACUCAUCCAGUAUGAGGUCUGUUGAAUUCCCCGGUGUAUCUCACCCACAUCUUAGACAUGAGUUUGGAGGGCUCAGCUCAUCGUGCAAGAGGCUGGCUCUCUCCUCUGGUUAGUUACCUAGAUGUGCAAAAGGAGUUUGAGACUAGUUUCCUCAGUCCCAGACGUGGUGAUGCUGUUUCAGAAAUGUUAAAGUGGUGUCCAAAUGUGACUAUGAAUAUUAAUUCAAUAGAGAAACUCGGUGAAAACAAGACUAAAGAAUUAGACACUUGAACUGCUACUUUGCUGCUUAUUAUAGAAGCCUUUGCCAGUGACUGAGGAGUGUAUGAGUCAGUUAAAAGCACUGCAGUGCUGGAGAAAAUGAUUCUCAAUUAUCAGAAUAAGAGGGAACAGAAUAAUGUGGAGUGGAAUUGGUUUUGAAACUGCUUAAAGUCACAAGGGAGUUUCACAUUAACUUUUUUUCUUUAGUAUACAAGAGUUCAUGGUGGGAUUGUCUGAAGGAUCUUUUUGACCUCAUCUCCUGUUUAGAAGAGAUUGUGUUUCUGUAAACCUACAGUACCUGUGUAAUUGGUUAAAAUGUGCUAGUCAUAAGCACAAGUUAAGUCUGCUUAAAUGUGAGAUUUACUCAAAGUGAAGUGAGCUGCUUGAUGUCACUGCAUUGCUCAUUGGCAAAACCUCAUUUCCUCUCUAUUACCUUAGGAAGCAAGUUACUUCCCUUUUAAAACAGAGAUAGGGGAGUCAGAAUCCGGGAUUUUUCUGUCCCGUGACCAUAAACCUCAAAUACAACAGUAGUACCUUGGAAGGGAGGGCCGUAAGUGUUAAAAAACUUUCUCUGAGUAGGACGGUCAGGGCUGGGGAUUCAUUCAGCUCCAGCACUUCCCACAUCUCCUCCUGGGUUUUGUUUCCCGUUCUACGUCCACAGUCUUGCCCACACCACUGUUCUUCAGGUUUUGCCGAAACUCAGGAUAUCCGUAGCUUCUUUGGGACUUUCACACAUUGCAAAACACUUUCCUGGUCAGCAAAUGGAGGAAAAAGUUGUUAAUGAAUGCAAAUUCACUCAUGGGAUUAAUCAGUACUUAAAAGCAAGAAAAGGGAAAAGAGGACCAGCUGCCUCAUCCUGAAACCAAAACCUCUUUUGUUUCUAGAACCUGUAUUUGAAUAACUACAAUGUAACAAUACAGAAUAACAGAAGUUUAUAAAGAAUACUUUUUUCUAUAGAACUGGCCUCCUCUAUGUGUUCUGAUUUUCUUCCUCUCAUCUUUAUGAAUCACUGUCAAGUCAGAAUUGCUGUAGCAGCUUUGCAUGUUACCUCUUUUUUUUUUUUUUUAAUUAAAGAACUGCACCUUCAUAUUUUCAAAAUUUCUUUACUGUCUCAAUUAUGCUGUGCAUUUAACCUGCCAUUUUUGCUCUCCCCAUAGAAGCUACAGCUGUUUACCAUGACUUGGAUAUUUUCUGCCUGUGACACAGAGAAUGCCUCUUCUGUUUCCACAGUUGUCCAGCGAGCUGGCCAGUGUGUGUAGCUGAGCCUGCUCCUCGCUCUCUUGGCUGGGAAACCUGCGUUUUGUGCCUCCAUUCACAGCAGCCCACUUCUCAGCCCACAGUGGACACAGACUGGUGAGUUGUACUACAAUGAGCUCUGAGGUAUCUAUGAUAAUUUCAUGACAACUUUGGUAAAUUGUAUAGUCAUCCUUGCAGAGAAUGAGGACUUUCUUCUACUGAUUUCUUGUUAAAGAUUAAUAGUGUGUUUUUCUAUAAAAAAACAUGUAUUGCCCAUGCACCUGUGCUGAUCAACAUAUUCAUAGGUGAUGUGGAAGAAGAGAUGGGGAGUAAAGUGGCAAAAUUUUGUGAUAAUACUGGGUUUCUCAGGGUCAUAGAAAUGAAAAUCCAACCAUGAAGAACUAUUGACCUCAUGUGAGGCAAAGGAUGUUGGAAUUGUAAUAAAAAUUCUGUGUUCUGUAUAAAAUGUCAGUAAAAUAUAUGUGUGUAUAUAUAUAUAUAUAUAUAAAGGAAAGAAUAGAAAACAGAAAGCAUCAUUGUGUCUCUGUACAGGUUUAUGGUCCUCUAGUUUUUGAAUGCUGCAAGCAGCUCUUGCCUUCAUAUCUGAAAAGAGAUGCAGCAGAACUAGAAAAGAGUGAUGUGGAUGACCAGGGAUAUGGGACAGCUUCUCCAUGAGCUGUAGCUGAUAGACAGACUCUUCAGCCUGAAAAGAAACCAGCCAAGAGAGGGUAUGAGAGGGAUCUGUAAACCACGGAUGACACAAAAGCCAUGAACAGAUGAACUGUCUCUCUUAAUAUAGGAGUUAGGGAGCAUCAGAUAAAAUUGUCAGCUGUCACAUUUCAGAGAGACAAAAGGAGAAAUUCCCCGAAACUCUCAAUGUUUUCAGAAAGCAAGUGGAUGUGUUUGUGGAAUAAAAACCCACCUAGAGCUGUUAAACACCAAGGUGCAGAGUUCUCUUUUUCAGCAAGUCCCUAAGACAGCCACAAGCUCCAGGUUCCAGCCCUACUGGAGCCUUUAUACAUAUGUUUAUUAUAGUUCCUGUGUUUGGCAGAGGACGUGUUCAGCUGGCCGCUGUUGCAGAGCGGUGCUGGGCUGGACUGAGAUGCAUGUCCCAGUGUGAGCAUUCUGACUUUUUUGUUUAUGAGCCUGCUCACUGAGGAAGCUCUGAAACCCUUUGAGUUGGCUGGGGCUGUGCUUCUGCAACCUUGCAGCACUGCAGGAGACACUUACCCUGGGAAGUGAUCAAAAGAAUAAGCAGGAGGCAGAAAUCUGCCUUUGAUAAGUCAGAGCUUUUUUUUUGAGUAAAAAAAAAAAAACCAACAAAAACCCAAUUGCCUCCUUCAUCCAUGGAAACAGACAAGUGUGGACAGAUGCCUGACUCCAUUAUCACCUUCUCCUUCACCAUGAAAAUGCCAAGCAAAGUCCUAAAGGCACUCUGAGGCCACAAAAUGGGUCAAUAAUGCUGGGGGUGGGGGGAGCAGUGAAGAAAUUCCCUUGCUGUGCUUGCUGGAGAGUGAAUCAAGCAGAUGCAAACAUACUUUCUGCAGCUGGGAGACGUCACUUGGGGGAUCCCUGAAGUGGGUCAGGGCAGAGGUCGUGCUCGCUGUUUUCAAAAUUUCCAGAGCAUCAGCAAGAAGGAGAGUUAUCCACUGUCAGCACAUCCAGAGGUAUGAUUGAGAACUACCAGGGGAAUCUUCUUCCCAGCAGCACACAGGAAAGCAAGAGUUUGAUGUUUGAAAAAGUCUGACUGACAGAAAUAUUGAACAGGCUUUCACUCAGCAGGAUGCGCACGUGUUGGCUUCUGGAGACCAGGGGGGACAGAAAUCACCUCGAGCAGCAGCUUCUUGGAGAACUGGGUGAUACUGUUUAGCCAGCAAGUGAAGAUUAGUGCUGAAGGAUUCAUCAUACCUACAGUCCCCUUUAGGCUGGCGAGAGCACUGUGAGAAGGUGGUGGAGAAAUAAAUGGUAGCAUAAGAAAAAGAAUUUUUAGAAGGGUCUUUGUUACCCCAUAUAUUCAUCUGUUGCUACUGUCAUGUUGCUUUUUAAUGAAUAAGGAAGGGAAGGAUAUGGGAGUGUAAAAUGCCUUCAUCCCAUU